This 454-nucleotide ribosomal RNA is filed under the name uncultured Oomycota. RNAcentral describes it as "LSU rRNA". It matches the Rfam family "Eukaryotic large subunit ribosomal RNA", at positions 326 to 629 of the family's 3401-position model. Lineage: Eukaryota; Oomycota. The record is from RNAcentral.
GUGCGAGACCGAUAGCGAACAAGUACCGUGAGGGAAAGAUGAAAAGAACUUUGAAAAGAGAGUUAAAGAGUACCUGAAACUGCUGAAAGGGAAUCGAAUCGUUUCCAGUGUCUAUAAUCUGUGGCAUAUUUCAUUGGCGAGUGUGUGCGUGCAUUGUUUUGGAAGCAGUUUUCUGUUCCUGGCUGUGUUGUGCAUUUGCUUGCUGGUGCCCUGUGUCGCGGUGGGACGUCAGAGUCAAUUCGUAAGUUGCGGGAAAUGGCUAUUGGGGAGGUAGGUCACUUCGGUGGCCGUUAUAUCCUGAUAGCUAGUAGUCGUGGCUGGGAUUGAGGUGCCUACAACGCGCUUUCGAGUCUGCGGGCUUCUCGUGUGGCUGUUUGCUUUGAUAGCUUGCUAUGUUGGUGAAUAAGUCGUGCGAUUGAGACCUGUAGUAACUUGUUGCUGUUCGGGACUUUGA